This 497-nucleotide ribosomal RNA is filed under the name uncultured bacterium. RNAcentral's name for it is "partial 16S ribosomal RNA". It matches the Rfam family "Bacterial small subunit ribosomal RNA", at positions 28 to 507 of the family's 1533-position model. The record is from RNAcentral.
GAUGAACGCUGGCGGCGUGCCUAAUACAUGCAAGUCGAGCGAACAGACGAGGAGCUUGCUCCUCUGACGUUAGCGGCGGACGGGUGAGUAACACGUGGAUAACCUACCUAUAAGACUGGGAUAACUUCGGGAAACCGGAGCUAAUACCGGAUAAUAUAUUGAACCGCAUGGUUCAAUAGUGAAAGACGGUUUUGCUGUCACUUAUAGAUGGAUCCGCGCCGCAUUAGCUAGUUGGUAAGGUAACGGCUUACCAAGGCAACGAUGCGUAGCCGACCUGAGAGGGUGAUAGGCCACACUGGAACUGAGACACGGUCCAGACUCCUACGGGAGGCAGCAGUAGGGAAUCUUCCGCAAUGGGCGAAAGCCUGACGGAGCAACGCCGCGUGAGUGAUGAAGGUCUUCGGAUCGUAAAACUCUGUUAUUAGGGAAGAACAAAUGUGUAAGCAACUAUGCACGUCUUGACGGUACCUAAUCAGAAAGCCACGGCUAACUACGUG